This 206-nucleotide long non-coding RNA is filed under the name Mytilus galloprovincialis (Mediterranean mussel). The record is from RNAcentral. Lineage: Eukaryota; Metazoa; Mollusca; Bivalvia; Mytilida; Mytilidae.
GUUUUCCAUCAAAAUGUUUAGGUAAUAUUUUACAUAAUGACAAAUGUAAAAUUGAUGUUAGCUGAAAUAGGCCAUAAUGCGUUUGACAUUCCAGCAUUAGAACAUAAUCAGAAACCAUUUAAUGUUACUGAUGUUGUUUGAAACGAAAUCUACAAAUAUCUAGCAUGUGGAUUCACAGCCCAUUAGAACUCUGUUUUUGAAGGAAC